Molecule: ribosomal RNA, 253 nt
Filed under: uncultured bacterium
Lineage: Bacteria
Description: partial 16S ribosomal RNA
Rfam family: Bacterial small subunit ribosomal RNA
Source: RNAcentral
UACGAGUGCCUCGAGCGUUAUCCGGAAUCAUUGGGCGUAAAGGGUGUGUAGGUGGUCAUAUUAGUCUUCUGUUAAAUUCUUCGGCUUAACCGGGGGCAUGCAGGGGAAACGGUAUGACUUGACGAUGCAAGAGGUCUGCGGAACUCAUAGUGUAGCGGUGAAAUGCGUUGAUAUUAUGGGGAACACCAAAAGCGAAGGCAGCAGACUGGGGCACUCGUGACACUGAAACACGAAAGCGUGGGUAGCGAAUGGG